This 2479-nucleotide long non-coding RNA is filed under the name Pan troglodytes (chimpanzee). RNAcentral describes it as "lincRNA". Lineage: Eukaryota; Metazoa; Chordata; Mammalia; Primates; Hominidae. The record is from RNAcentral.
UUUAGUUUAGUUUUUUAAGACAGGGUCUCGCUCUGUCACCCAGGCUGGAGUGCAAUGGCAUGAUCAUGGCUCACUGCAACCUUGACGUCCCAGGCUCAAGCGAUUCUCUCACUUUUGUCUCCCAAGUAGCUGGAACUACAGGCAUGCACCACCAUGCCUGGCUAAUUUAAACAUUUUUUGUAGAGAAGGGGUUUACCAGUGUGGCCCAUGCUGGUCUUGAACUCCUGGGCUCAAGCGAUCCUCCUGCUUUGGCCUCCCAAAUUGUUGGGAUUAUAGGCGUGAGCCACUGCACCUGGUCCCCCAGAAUCUAAAGGAUGGUGCAGGUUCUGUUUUUAAAUGUACCUGUUGAGUAUGUAUUAGCUCAAACAGAGUUUACCUGAGAUGUGCAUCUGGGGUCCACCCUCUUUGGCACUGUCCCUCAUUUUCCUCCUCCAACAUUCUCCCAAUCUCUCUCUGUUAACCCCAACAACCUGCCACCCCUCCCUAACAAAGGAUUCCCAGCUCAAGGCCAAUUGGAUCGAGUUUUUCUUCUGCAGAAAUUGUGGGGAGGUGGCUUCAGAGGCUCACAAGCAGAACCCCACCCAGACACAUAAACCUUUCUUUGGCUGGUACCAACUCCUCUAUUGCAGGGUAUGGUCCAAGUAGGUUAUACAAGUCUCUACCUCUUCUAGCUGAAGCCAACCUCCCAGGAAAAGGAUGAGAGGAGAAAGCCAUCCUGCCUGGUGUGUGGAUAAUACCACCACCAGAGUCUCCUGUAAUUUUGAUUCGAUGGCAUGCAGCUGCGUGACCUAAGGCACGUAUCUCCAUUCACAGGGUGUGGUCAGUACUCUGUGAAUAUCAGGUGUUCUGUCUGCCCUGUCUCCUGUCUUCCUGGAGCCUGCCCUUACCCAGUGAGUCCCUGGAGAGAACAUUCUGGCAUCUGGCUGUGAGCUGUCACAGACAUGGGUUUCUUUCGGUUCCCAGAAUGAUGGGAUGCCAGCCGCUGGCUGCCCCCAAGAAGCUUGGGAGCAGGACAGGCUUGGCUGUCUCAGAGGAAGAGCCUGGCAUUGGGCCAGGAGGCUCAGGAGGGAAGAUGAGCUCAUUCUGCCCAGCUCGGUUCUCUCGUAUGCAGACCAGGUCAUCACAGGGACCUGCCUCCACAUUUGCAUCCCCCACGGCAUAUUUUCCCAGCACGUGCAGCAUUGGGAACUUGAACGUCCCUCUGCUUUUCCUUGGUGAGACCCACCAGCCCCGCAUUAGGAAGGAGGCUGAACAUUUGACGGAGCUUUCCUGUCACCUGUGAGUGACGUGCACGCUGCUUCCGAAGAAAGAGACAUCCCCCUACUGUCUUCUCACAGUGGGAUGAUUCAACUUUUUCUUUCUCACAAUCCCAGAUAAUCAUAUCUUCCCAGGUUUUGUCAUCUUCGAGGACUACUCACUAUCUAGUUAUGAGUCAAACAAAACCCAAUUUAACUGAUAACUAACCAGCCAUCACGUAUCCCUGAAGAUAAACCUGGUUUAUCCUUUUUAUACCCUCUGGCAGAGCAAAGGAACAAGGAGUUUGGGGGAAAAAAAACAAACAAACCACUAGAAACAGCACUGACACAUGUCGUUAAAUACAGAUGUGACCAGCCUUGAUUACAAGUGUUGUCAUCCUCUUUGAACAGGGACCUACCCCGAACUUUCAUGAACCCCUGGUAGCUGAAUAGCAGCUUGUCUAAGCGAGGUGCAGGGAUUUUGUCAAAGUCGGCCUCGGUGUAAAAGGCAGGGCCACCUACCAUGAACUUCUCUCUGUGACUUUAUUCUUUAGCAGUGCUCAAGUGUAAAUAAACUUGUUUACCAGGAUCAGAAUGGCCAUGUUAAUGAAGUCUUAUUUGUGUCACCACAAUGACAAGUAAUUUGUGCACAGUUGGACUCGGAGAGUGGACAAAACCAGAGAAAUUGUAUUUCUGUUCUGAAGUUUCCAUACAGAUGCCUUAGGCCAAAGUUGGUACAGCCAAUAUUUGCCUGUUUCUUUGGAUUGUGUGUCUAUGCUGGAGAAAAGCCUUGUUACCGUGCCCAGUGUGGUAAACGAAAUUAUAUGUACGCAGUGAGAAGAAAAAUGAAAUAAGAAGCACUGAUGAAUGUAUGCAUGGGUGUAACCUUGGUGGCCAGUGUGUGGUUUUUAUGAAAUGGAUGCAUGAAUACGAGGACCCUAAUUAUUGCUUUCAACGGACAAAGUAUGGUGAAUAUAUAGAGAACGUUGCUGUACAACACUGGCUGUGUCUCAAAGCAGCUUUAGAAGUAAAUAUAGAAAUUCUUUGGUACAUGGUAUUGCAUAGAAAAGUCAUUAAGAAAAAAGCAAGACAAUUUGUUAAGACCUUGUUAAGUGGAGCUGGGGGAUGAUUAAUUUUGUUUGUUUGUUUUUGUUGUUCCCUGGUAGAGCUCAACAAACUACCGACCAUGGGCCAAAUCUGACCCACCGCUGCUUUUGUAAAUAAAACUUUAUUGGAAAAAAGCC